This 337-nucleotide unclassified non-coding RNA is filed under the name soil metagenome. RNAcentral's name for it is "partial contains 5.8S ribosomal RNA, internal transcribed spacer 2, and large subunit ribosomal RNA". The stretch from base 1 to 119 matches the Rfam family "5.8S ribosomal RNA", at positions 35 to 154 of the family's 154-position model. The record is from RNAcentral.
GAUGAAGAACGUAGUAAAUGCGAUAAGUAAUGUGAAUUGCAGAAUUCAGUGAAUCAUCGAAUCUUUGAACGCACAUUGCGCCCGCCAGUAUUCUGGCGGGCAUGCCUGUCUGAGCGUCAUUUCAACCCUCAAGCAACUUCUGCUUGGUGUUGGGGAUCGGCCGUCAAACGCCGCCCCCGAAAUCUAUUGGCGAUCUCGCUGUAGCUUCCUAUGCGUAGUAGUAACAUCUCGCAUCUGGAGAGCGGCGCGGUCAUGCCGUAAAACACCCAACUUCUCAGGUUGACCUCAGAUCAGGUAGGAAUACCCGCUGAACUUAAGCAUAUCAAUAAGCGGAGGA